Papaver somniferum (opium poppy) is the source of this 955-nucleotide long non-coding RNA. RefSeq lists it as uncharacterized. The transcript is spliced from 2 exons. NCBI's taxonomy places the organism in Eukaryota, Viridiplantae, Streptophyta, Magnoliopsida, Ranunculales, Papaveraceae. The record is from RefSeq and is a predicted model, not a curated record.
GUAAGCAACGUUAAUGCGACUAUACUCUAGCCCGUAAACUCAUUACUAGUGAAAACGGCUAAACCGGUUGCAAUUUGAUCGUCUUUAAAAGGCUUUGGUAUUUGCUUGAUCUCUGCAGUAGAUGGAUUCCAGAGCAUAAUACCAUCCUCCGCACUCCAAAGAUUAUUCAUUAAAACCAAACCACUACAAGAACUAUAAAAACAAGCACGCUUUUUAGAUUUGAAUGGAUCCUGGAUAAUCUUAACAUCAAACUCAGUUUUUGGUGAUAAAGGUGACGAUGAACCAGCCAAGUUAAUUUUGAACAUGGCAUUCCCAGAUUCUCUUUUAGUAGAGUGAAUAAGUAAAGUGAAGUUAUGAUUUGUGAUGCUACGAUUGAGAAUCACAUCAUCUGGGAGGCUGACGAUCCUUUUUGCUUCUUCUUCUUUAUUUCUUGAGGAUGGUGCUGGCAUUUGUGAGAGUUUUUGCUUUUCUUUCGUGGUUUUCUUCAUGGUUGUAUGACUUGAUAUGCAUAGGCUACAGGGGAGGAGAUAGAGCUGCUGGUGUUUACAAUGAAUAAUAGAGUGAAAGACACGGAAAGGAUGAGUUCUAAAGUUCUUAGGUUUGGAUUUACUGUUUAACCUAAUUUUACCAGGCUAAAAUUACUUGGUGUUAGUGUAUUCUGGAUCAUACCGGCGAAUUUUGUGCCAAGCCCUAUAUUUACAUGGAUUUUGGGUUACAUGCAUAGAUUUUGGGUCAUGGUCAGAAAAAAAUACAGUAUAAUAACUGUCCAACUUUAGGUCACUCGUGAUGUUGGAUUGCUAAGUAAAUCUUUGGGACGAUUUCAGUGUCCCCAAGCAAAUUAUAAAAGGUGAUAUGUAUCACAAGCAGAGUAGGUAUAAGCAAAUGUAUAUGUGAUUUUUUGAUUUCUUGGUCUUUCGAGGAACAACCCAUUAUCUAAUUUCAAGAUAAUCUUACG